GAAGGUAUAGCUCAGUGGUAGAGUGCAUGCCUAGCAUGCAUGAGGUGCUGUGUUCAAUUCCCAGUACCUCUA
This 72-nucleotide transfer RNA is filed under the name Camelus bactrianus (Bactrian camel). It matches the Rfam family "tRNA". Rfam says of the family: Transfer RNA (tRNA) molecules are approximately 80 nucleotides in length. Their secondary structure includes four short double-helical elements and three loops (D, anti-codon, and T loops). Lineage: Eukaryota; Metazoa; Chordata; Mammalia; Artiodactyla; Camelidae. The record is from Rfam by way of RNAcentral. RNAcentral also lists the same sequence under 1 other name.